Molecule: ribosomal RNA, 506 nt
Filed under: uncultured bacterium
Lineage: Bacteria
Description: partial 16S ribosomal RNA
Rfam family: Bacterial small subunit ribosomal RNA
Source: RNAcentral
AUUGAACGCUGGCGGCAUGCCUUACACAUGCAAGUCAAACGGCAGCAUGAUCUAGCUUGCUAGAUUGAUGGCGAGUGGCGAACGGGUGAGUAAUACAUCGGAACGUGCCCUGUAGUGGGGGAUAACUAGUCGAAAGAUUAGCUAAUACCGCAUACGACCUGAGGGUGAAAGUGGGGGACCGCAAGGCCUCAUGCUAUAGGAGCGGCCGAUGUCUGAUUAGCUAGUUGGUGGGGUAAAGGCCCACCAAGGCGACGAUCAGUAGCUGGUCUGAGAGGACGACCAGCCACACUGGGACUGAGACACGGCCCAGACUCCUACGGGAGGCAGCAGUGGGGAAUUUUGGACAAUGGGGGCAACCCUGAUCCAGCAAUGCCGCGUGUGUGAAGAAGGCCUUCGGGUUGUAAAGCACUUUUGUCCGGAAAGAAAUCGCACUUACUAAUAUUAGGUGUGGAUGACGGUACCGGAAGAAUAAGGACCGGCUAACUACGUGCCAGCAGCCGCGGUAA